GCUAUACAUGCAGUCGAGCGGACUUAAAAAGCUUGCUUUUUAAGUUAGCGGCGGACGGGUGAGUAACACGUGGGCAACCUGCCUGUAAGACUGGGAUAACUUCGGGAAACCGGAGCUAAUACCGGAUAAUCCUUUUCUACUCAUGUAGAAAAGCUGAAAGACGGUUUACGCUGUCACUUACAGAUGGGCCCGCGGCGCAUUAGCUAGUUGGUGAGGUAACGGCUCACCAAGGCGACGAUGCGUAGCCGACCUGAGAGGGUGAUCGGCCACACUGGGACUGAGACACGGCCCAGACUCCUACGGGAGGCAGCAGUAGGGAAUCUUCCGCAAUGGACGAAAGUCUGACGGAGCAACGCCGCGUGAGUGAUGAAGGUUUUCGGAUCGUAAAACUCUGUUGUUAGGGAAGAACAAGUACGAGAGUAACUGCUCGUACCUUGACGGUACCUAACCAGAAAGCCACGGCUAACUACGUGCCAGCAGCCGCGGUAAUACGUAGGUGGCAAGCGUUGUCCGGAAUUAUUGGGCGUAAAGCGCGCGCAGGCGGUCCUUU
RNAcentral lists this ribosomal RNA (550 nucleotides) under Niallia nealsonii. RNAcentral's name for it is "bacterial SSU rRNA". It matches the Rfam family "Bacterial small subunit ribosomal RNA", at positions 48 to 584 of the family's 1533-position model. Lineage: Bacteria; Bacillati; Bacillota; Bacilli; Caryophanales; Bacillaceae. The record is from RNAcentral.